Molecule: ribosomal RNA, 189 nt
Filed under: uncultured bacterium
Lineage: Bacteria
Description: partial 16S ribosomal RNA
Rfam family: Bacterial small subunit ribosomal RNA
Source: RNAcentral
UACGGGAGGCAGCAGUGAGGAAUAUUGGACAAUGGAGGCAACUCUGAUCCAGCCAUGCCGCGUGCAGGAAGACUGCCCUAUGGGUUGUAAACUGCUUUUAUACAGGAAGAAACCUUGGUACGUGUACCAAGCUGACGGUACUGUAAGAAUAAGGAUCGGCUAACUCCGUGCCAGCAGCCGCGGUAAUAC